GCUCUCUCCACCCCAUCUUGGGACGGCCAGCUCUAAGAAUUCCUGCUACGACACUGAAUUCAACCAGGAGGUGAUGCCACACUCAAUCAGAAACUAUGCUACUGCUGAAGAGGUAUAUUGAGCCCUGCCUGGUUAACCUCCAGUGAGGUUAUUAGAGAAUUGGGAGAGGCUCAAAUCAGCAUCCUGCACCUAGUUAUCAAACCAUUGUGAAGUCUUGAUUCCUGGAUGGCCAGAAAACUUGUCAUUGGUCAAGAGCAACAUUAAGAUCUGCCUGUUACUCAUACUGAUGCUUCCUGCCCAGCAAGUUCAUCAGAGGGCGAGGAUGAAUUACGGUUGCCAUGAAUGUCCUUGUGAGGCAGUUGGGAAGCCUUGGCUGGAUUGUGAAGGAUAUUUGAAAAGUAUUUUAGAGUCCACCAGAUCAUCCAUGUGAGUGACCAUGCAGCAAAAGAAGGAGGGUCCUCUCAGUGAUUAAGGAUUAUGAAGUAUUAAUUCUUCCACUGAUAUCUCAAAAGGUGAUCUGGACAAAGGAACAGGUAUCUCAGGAUUCCUCCUUGGUCACUUUUCAGCAGCAGCCUGCUCUUCUUUUGCAAUCUCUUCAGGAUCUCUGUAGAAGUAGAGAUCAGGCAUGAACUCCCACGGGUGUUCACGGGAAAUGGUGCCACGCAUGCGCAGAACUUCCCGAGCCAGCAUCCACCACAUCAAACCCACUGAGUGAGCUCCCUUGUUGUUGCAUGGGAUGGCAAUGUCCACGUAUCACAGAGGAGAAUCUGUGUUACACAGAGCAAUGGUAAGUUGGUUAACAUAAGAUGCCUCCGUGAGAGGCUGGUGGUCAGCCCUGGGGUCAGUAACCACAAGCCAUGGCUCCCGGAAGGCUGCCUGGAUCUGGUUAGUGAAGGUUCCAGGAGUGAAGCAGCCAGCAAUUUUUGCCAAUUUUUUAAAAUUCAUAUUACUUUUUUCUUGCUAUUGAAUUACGUUGGUUAUAUCUUCUUAACUCUUUGUCACAUAUACUGUUUGCAAAUAUUUUCUCCAAUACUGUAAAUUGACUCCUCACUCUUUUAUUUUUUAUUAUUAUUAUACUUUAAGUUUUAGGGUACAUGUGCACAAUGUGCAGGUUAGUUACAUAUGUAUACAUGUGC
Long non-coding RNA from Homo sapiens (human), 1136 nucleotides. Ensembl annotates it as FTX transcript, XIST regulator. Its record names the gene FTX. Lineage: Eukaryota; Metazoa; Chordata; Mammalia; Primates; Hominidae. The record is from Ensembl.